RNAcentral lists this ribosomal RNA (402 nucleotides) under Anaplasma sp. Its description in RNAcentral is "bacterial SSU rRNA". It matches the Rfam family "Bacterial small subunit ribosomal RNA", at positions 862 to 1262 of the family's 1533-position model. The record is from RNAcentral. Lineage: Bacteria; Pseudomonadati; Pseudomonadota; Alphaproteobacteria; Rickettsiales; Anaplasmataceae.
AAGCACUCGGCCUGGGGAUACGGUCGCAGACUAAAACUCAAAGGAAUUGACGGGGACCCGCACAAGCGGUGGAGCAUGUGGUUUAAUUCGAUGCAACGCGAAAAACCUUACCACUUCUUGACAUGGAGGUUAGAUCUUUCUUAACAGAAAGGCGCAGUUCGGCUGGACCUCACACAGGUGCUGCAUGGCUGUCGUCAGCUCGUGUCGUGAGAUGUUGGGUUAAGUCCCGCAACGAGCGUAACCCUCAUCCUUAGUUACCAGCGGGUAAUGCCGGGCACUUUAAGGAAACUGCCGGUGAUAAACCGGAGGAAGGUGGGGAUGAUGUCAAGUCAGCACGGCCCUUAUGGGGUGGGCUACACACGUGCUACAAUGGCGACCACAAUAGGUUGCAAUGUCGCAAGA